GUGGUUGUAGUUUAAUGGUUAGAAUACUGGUUUGUGACACCGGUGAUGUUGGGUUCGACUCCCACCAGCCACACCA
Molecule: transfer RNA, 76 nt
Filed under: compost metagenome
Description: tRNA-His
Rfam family: tRNA
About the family: Transfer RNA (tRNA) molecules are approximately 80 nucleotides in length. Their secondary structure includes four short double-helical elements and three loops (D, anti-codon, and T loops).
Source: RNAcentral